Molecule: non-coding RNA, 45 nt
Organism: Nematostella vectensis (starlet sea anemone)
Lineage: Eukaryota; Metazoa; Cnidaria; Anthozoa; Actiniaria; Edwardsiidae
Source: Rfam
GCCAUGCUGACGAGUCCUAAUAAGGACGAAACAGCUGUCCAUGGU